RNAcentral lists this ribosomal RNA (519 nucleotides) under Lactiplantibacillus pentosus. Its description in RNAcentral is "bacterial SSU rRNA". It matches the Rfam family "Bacterial small subunit ribosomal RNA", at positions 51 to 531 of the family's 1533-position model. The record is from RNAcentral. Lineage: Bacteria; Bacillati; Bacillota; Bacilli; Lactobacillales; Lactobacillaceae.
AUACAUGCAGUCGAACCAGGUAACGUAUAAGAUUGGUGCUUGCAUCAUGAUUUACAUUUGAGUGAGUGGCGAACUGGUGAGUAACACGUGGGAAACCUGCCCAGAAGCGGGGGAUAACACCUGGAAACAGAUGCUAAUACCGCAUAACAACUUGGACCGCAUGGUCCGAGUUUGAAAGAUGGCUUCGGCUAUCACUUUUGGAUGGUCCCGCGGCGUAUUAGCUAGAUGGUGGGGUAACGGCUCACCAUGGCAAUGAUACGUAGCCGACCUGAGAGGGUAAUCGGCCACAUUGGGACUGAGACACGGCCCAAACUCCUACGGGAGGCAGCAGUAGGGAAUCUUCCACAAUGGACGAAAGUCUGAUGGAGCAACGCCGCGUGAGUGAAGAAGGGUUUCGGCUCGUAAAACUCUGUUGUUAAAGAAUAAUAUAUCUGAGAGUAACUGUUCAGGUAUUGACGGUAUUUAACCAGAAAGCCACGGUUAACUACUUGCCCCCAUCCGCUGGUUUUCAUACGUGCG